This is a non-coding RNA of Chlorocebus sabaeus (green monkey), 9096 nucleotides long. The record is from RefSeq and is a predicted model, not a curated record. NCBI's taxonomy places the organism in Eukaryota, Metazoa, Chordata, Mammalia, Primates, Cercopithecidae.
UUUGUAUUUUUAGUAGAGACAGGGUUUCACCAUGUUGGUCAGGCUGGUCUCAAACUCCUGACUCAGGUGAUCCACUCUUCUCAUUUUCCCAAAGUGCUCAGCUUACAGGUGUGAGUCACCACACCCAGCGAUUCACUUAGUUUUUCAAGUUACAUCCAUUACAUAAGGUCACGUAAGGUGGGAUCAGGUUAAAGAAGAGAGAUAGCCUCACUAUCAAAACAACAAUGACAUCGUGGUGUAUGUUCCAAGUUACAGAAUUUGAAAAGUUGUUAUUUCUUCUUCACUCCUCCUCAGCUACACUCAAAAUGCUGUCAUAAAUUCAUGCUGCUUUUUGAUGGUGGAAUCAAAAGCCUGUGUGUGUGUGUGUGUGUGUGUGUGUGUUUUCAGGCUGGUGUGCUAUUGAAUCCUUACAAAACAAGACUGUCUCAUGUUUUUAUUACUUAUUUUACUCAAAUUGUCAUUACAGGUACUUAUUAAGGAAACAUUUAGACCAAUCCUGGGGUGAUUAGAGAACAGGAUUGGCGUAAAGAAUGUAACUUUUACUCUGGUUGGCCUCUUACUACUAAAGGGUUUCAGUGAUUUGACAACUCCAGUAAUAUCUCUGUAUCUCACCAUCUGGCAGCAUUUCACAGUGCCUGUUUGAUGAGUAAGAGGUGCUACAAGAUCAUUACGAGGAAAUUUCAGCACCAACAAACAGUUUCAACAAUUGUUUAUGACCACUGGGUAGUGCUGCAAACAGACACAUACACUGAAAUGCAUUGCUUUGUUUUAGAAACACAGGUACUUCCUGCUGUAGUUUUUAAUUGUUUCAGUAAUGCAUGUAUGUCUAGCUGCACUCUUUUUAAUUCAUUCAACAUCUAGCAUUUAGUGACCCCAUCUGAUCUGAACAAUGCUUCUCUUCCAGGGACUAAUACAAUUGUUUUAGAUUAUUGUUUCUUCCCUGUAGCUUCCAAAAUAAUCAAUAACAAAUUACCCAUUUCAUUUAGGAAACAGAUAUUUGCUCCCUUGGAAUCCAAAUUAUAUUUAGAUGUUUUUAUUUUUGCUGUAUUCCAUAAGAUCCCUGACCAAAUAGAUGGUCAGAGAAGGUUAUAACUUAUGUAGCUCUAACUCCCAUGUCUCCAGAGAAGAACAUUCUGCCAUCCUAAAUUCUGCAGCUAGUGAGACUGGCAAAUCACUUAUUUUUAAUGCUAGAGACUCCUUUCUCCCAGCUUGAAGAGUUGGCAGCUCUGGUUAGGGAAUGAUGCCAGAUCUAAGCAAAGUUGACUUAAAGUACAGGUAAUCUGGGAGACUAGUGGUGCUAUGAAUGCACACAGGACUCAACUCCCAGCUGGGUUCAGAUUAAAAGAGUCUGGCUGAGAUCCAGAUGAGAUGAAAUUUACUACUUCAUUUUGGGGAGUCUCGGCUUUCAUUAAUAUGCAUCGGUAUAUCUUAUAGAAUUAAAAAUAUUUGAAGCAAGGAAUAAAAAUGAAAAAACAGUGUAUACUGAAGAAAAGCGUAUUCCUGUUCAUUUGGCAUAGAUCAAAUCAGUUGAACUCAGAACUAUAGAAUAAAAUUACAGAUACAGAUGUCAAGAAAGGAAUAUUUGGAGAAAAUAAAAAUGAAAGCAACAAUGAUAAAUUCUGAUACCAUUUGAUAACAUAUAUCAUUUCAUUUCAACAAAACAUACUUCUACAAUGCUACAGUAACGGCAUUAAAUUAUGUGUUUUCAUUCAAAUGAAGUAAGAGAAGAUUCUUGAUGCUAUGAAUGCUAUCUUCUUAGAGUAAAUCAUAUCAAUAUUUUACCAUAAGUCCCAAUUGUUUAUGUCAUUAGAAUAUUAGGCUGUUUCCUCCUUGACUUCAUUAAGAUUAUUCAUCAUGUCAAGUUUUUGCUUUUCUAUACUAGGAAGUCUGCUGUUUUCCAAAGAGAAUGAAUGUAAGUUACAAAAUUUCAAAUCAUCCAGCUGCCUUAUUUUCCUAUCUGGAAGCACAGGCCACAACUCCAUCAGCAAGACAUAGUAACUAUAGCCUGAUAAAAUUAAUUCCCAAAAAUUACCUUAGAGUUUUAAUCUUUUCCAAAUGGAGGUCAACAAAAUACAACAGUCACAAUAAUAUUCAAUUGAUGAGCGCCAAUACUUUCCUAGCUCUCCAUGUUGUAGAGGGUGCCUUCAUAUAUUUUAUUAGCUUCUUUGGACUUCUCAAACAUUCCUUGAGAUAAGGAGAUAAAGCAUGAUUAAAACAUCUGUUUUCCAGAAGAGGAAUCUAUAUGCCCAAGGACACAUAGUUAACAUGUGGCAAAAUCAUCCUCAGGUCUUUCAUUUCAAAUUCCUUGCUCUUUCAACUAUUUCUCAAGAUAAAUGCAAAAGAGAUUAUUUUUCUUUUGGUGUCAUAAGAGAGCCCUGGCCUGGCCUAGGAAUUGGGAGAACAUCGUCCUCAUGUGCCAGAUCAGUGAUUUGUAUAGGUUGUGUGACCUUGUGUUUCCCUACAUCAACUGUAAAAUGAAGGCUCUGAACUAGAUCAUUUUAAGUACUUACAGCUGUAAAAUCCAAUGACUCUAUUUAAAAUAAUGUAGGAAGCUUCAGAAAAAUUGCAUCUAUAAUAAAUUUUAUUGCUGAAAGUUUCCCAGAAUGUAUCCUGCAAACUACAGUGCCACAUGUGUUAAUAUAUAUUAUGGCAUAAAAGAAUCUGUGGGUAAUUGGUUUUGCGAAAUGCAGAGUAAAACAAAAUUAGGCAUAAUUUCUUUAUGGCAGGACUUCUCCGUGACUUCAACUUUCCAACUGCAGAGUGAAACUAGAGAAAGAGCAUGGAGAGUGCACAGGUCCAGGCAGGGUCCAUGGACAUGAUCAUGGCAAUAAUGGUCCAGGAAAGUGUCUCUGAGAAAAGCCUCAUGUCCAGACUGUCAGCGAUGGUUCUCAAUGGGCAAAUCAUGGCAUCUCCUGAUAUCUCCUCUCUACCAAAUGGACCUUGAGGUGGCUACGGGCUGUGUAUUUAAAGACAUAUCUGGUGGAAUAAAAUUUAAAGAAGUUUCUUAAAAAAUAUAAUUGCAAACUAAACUUUUAGACUGCCUUAAUUCAUAAUCACCUCAACUGCCAAGAUUAUUUAGCAAUAUUGAAGAGAUCGUUUCAUUCUUCUUUACCUAUAGCAGUGCUGGAUAAGAGGAUUUCUGGAAUUUCUUAGAAUUUCAUAUUAAGAAUACCCGAGUAUCUUUCCCUUAGUAUGCUUGUUGAUGUUGAUGAUAUGAUACAAAGCUAUUCGAGGGAGGUUCCCAAGAUUCAUGUUUCGAUUAAUUGCCACAACAUGUACAGCAGCACUUGCCUUCAAGAUCAUUGGGGGUGUGCAGGGUUGUCAAAUUGGCACGCAGUGUCUACAAUCUGAUAAUUUUUUUCUUAUUACUGUUUUCAGGAUGAGAAUAUGAAGCUGAUCUGAAUGCUUUUGACAUCCAUAGGCCUUGCAAGAUAGCUCUACAAUAACCAUAACAGACAGGUUCUCUAUACACAUAAAUCAUAGGUAGUCCACAAGAAGGGGACUGUUACUUUCAGUUUGAGGAAAGAUUUCUCCUGUUUUAAAACAGUAUGACUAUGUGCCUGCAAGACUUACAAAACAUAUAUACAUGUGCAAAGGCUCCAUUCUUGAUAUAUAAUUUUAACAACUUUGUCUUAUUCGUUUAUUUUCACGUUGGUGGUGAAUUACAUGAAAUUGACUUCCAUUUAUUUUUUCAGUAAACAGCUAGUUUUACAAACUACAUUUGCUCCCUGAGUUAGUUAUUCCUAUUUUUAUUUCAAAAACUGGAGUGGAGAAAGAAUUGGAAAGAAAACCUACUACCAUUCUUGAGAACUAUUACUAAUUUCGAGAUGUACAUCUCAAUUUACUCCAGAAGCAAUGGUUCAUCCAGAGGUACCUUGCAAUCAGUGAUAUAUUUAAUUAGACCCUAUAUCUUUUUGAGAAAAGCAAGGCCUGAUAUGAAGGCUGUGUGUGUAUAUUUUUGUGGAAAAUGGAAAGAAAUAGGAAAAGAAAUUUUCUUUGCUUUUGUAAAGUGAUGUUUAUGUGAAAUUAUAUUAGUUAAAUGCCUUAAUCACAAACAGAAAGGAUUGGAUGGCAAGUCAUCCACUUAUUCUCUGUGUUUUUGCAUUUUUAUAUUUCUUCUAAAAAUGUACCUAUUGCCUGAUUUCUCCUAGGUUGUGAGGCUGAAUAAGGCAGAUAGUUCCCCAGUUUCAUGAAACUUUCAAUGGAGUGUUUGUGUUUGGGAGGAUAGGAGGAGCAGGAAAUAAGAAGCAGAAAUAGCCUGUGGCGUGUUCCUGAGUGUUUGGCGGAGAAUAUUUAAAUGUCAUGCAAAAAGAAAAGUGACUUAAAUUUGUCCAGGGAAGCCUACUCUGAGGAGUGAAUUUUAUACUGAGAUGUAAUUGACAGAGCAAAACCAACCAUACCAGGAUUAGGAGAAGAGUUAACAGCAGAGCAGAGGUACCCAGGUAGUAGUGAGCCCACAGGUUAGGGGAAUGGAGAGAAGGGAGCCCUGAGUCCUGAUCAUGCAGGAUAUUGUAAAGCCAAAGAGAUAAAUUUUACUUAAAUUCAGGUUACAAUGGAAAGCCACCAGUGUAUUUUAAGCAAGAUUAAAUGGCAUACUUUCUUUGGUUUUGAAGAGAUAUUCUGGCUACUAUGUGCAGAAAGGAACCAUAAACAGGAAAGCAGCUCAGAGACUGGAGGUGGGCUUGUCUCAUUGACCAUGGCCAGAGGCUGACAAUUUGCAGCAGGAAGUGCUGGUGAGAAAAAAUUUGAUGUAUUUUAGGCUUUGAUUCCAUGUUUUAAUAAUGAGGCGUGGGAAGGCAAAAUCAUUGCAACUCACUCAAUUCAAAGAGAAGAGCGACCAGUCUGAGAGGGAAAGUGGGUGGGAAGUGGAGAGCUUAGAGAAGUAUCUGCAAGAUGAAGUAAGGAUGAAUGACAAGUCUUCUCAGCAAGCUGAAGCAGAUUCAAUAGAUAAAAAUGGGCAUACGACUGCAAAGCAUGUUUAACUUCUUGUGCUAGACCCAUAAAUGAUUUAGACAGAUUUUUUUUUCAGAAAUUAAAAAAGAUCAGUCAAAGCAAUUAAGAAAAUGUAGGGACUGUGCUUUCAUUCAUUUCCACUUUGAACGCAGUGCUAUGUUUGAAACUAGGAAGGAUAUGAAACGUUGUUUUGAGAGUGCUCCCACUCAAAGGCCUGUGCAAGAUCAUCUCCAUCUCUGAGACCUAGCCCAGAGUGCUUACUAGUUAGAUUUCAUCUUUAUAUACUGAAUUCAUUAUUUUUAUCUUUCAAAAUCAGAACAUUUUAAAAAGAAAAGUUAAGUAGGAAAACAGAGCAGAACAACAGAAACAUCUGAGGGUAAGAGGAUAGGCAUGUGGCCUGGGCAAGGAUCCCUGAGGGGGAAGAUGCCGACGAAGAUCCUAUUAGUGUUCACUUAUCUUUCCUCAAAGGAGAACAAAAAAUAAAGACCAGAUGCCCUUUUCAUCCUAUUUUACAUUCAUUCCUCUUUCCCGUUGUCGAUCCUGUCAUAGGCAGAAGAUGGAAAGGGGAAGGCUUCAUUGCAAGGACUGAUCAAAGAUAAAGUUAGAAGGUCAGAAGACAAGGCAAUGCAUGCAGCCUCUGUAGUGGGGCUGUGGAAUCACGAACACUGCUUGGGCGUUAGACGGUCUUCAGCAGCUUCCCAAGAAAGCUGCUUAUUAGAUUUGUGACCAGGACCAGGGGGAAAUCCCUGGAGCCUCAGUUUUCAUAUCUUCGUAAGGGGAAAUAAUAAUAAUAAAGAUGCCUGGAGGAUCAUUUGUGAAUACCUGUAAAAUGCUUCCCACGGGGCCUGUGGCCAACCCAGUUCACAAUUGUCCACUCAAUGUAAUGGACGUUGGCAUGUUGAAAUGUAGAUCACUCUUUUCUUCAAAGCCCUUUUGCUCUUUUAUACAGUAAAGAGAUGCUGGGAUAUGAAAGAGAUUUGAAAUAACUAGUUCCCCAAGUUAGACUAGAAUGAACUGAAAUAGAGAGGGGAAAGAGAGGGAGGGAAAGAGAGAGAGAUUGAGAGAGAGAGAGAGAGAGAGAGAGAGAGAGAGAGAGAGAGAGAGAGAAACAGGAGGAGAGAGAAGAAAGGGGGAAGAGGAGAGGAGAGGGAAGAAGAGAACAGGGCUAGAAUGGAAUGAGCUAGUCAGGAGCUAAUUAAUGGCCAAAGAGGAAGAAAAGAAAGCAAUGCAAACAAAUGAAAAUGCAGCCAAGGCAGAAACACACUGGAUAGGAAGAUGCUUAACAGAGAAGUGUCUUGCUGCUGUGCAGGAUGCCUCAAUCUAAAACAGCAUGAGAUGAGUGGCCUUCAUUCAUGGCCACGAUCACUGAAGCGGCUCCGAAGUGGCUUUGUACCUGUAAAAAUGGGCUUGUUUUGAUUUUUUGAACAUACAGUUAAAAUUGUUGUCUUUAUUGUAAAGGUCCAUGUUUCAUUUAAUAGUCUACCAGAAGUAUGAGGACAUCAUGUAAAAACACUUAAAUUAGAAGAAAUAGUAAUAAAAAUAAAAAUAAAAAUAGCCAUUUUAUUGAGAGUUUAGCUGAGUGGGGCACUGACUUCUUUCCCUCCAUUAUCUAAUGUUGAACUCCAGGCAGCAGGUUUUAUAUUUAUGUUCACUUUAGAAAUGAGGAAAUGGAUGUUUAAGAAGUUGAGUAACAUCCGAAAUAUCCCCCAGUUACUGGCUGACUUCGGGACUCAGUCCUGGGUCUUCCUGACCCCAGACUUCAGUGUCCCUAACCACUAUGUUAGGAAGAAAAUAUAGGAGAUAGAGAUGAAUAAAUGUAAUCUUCCUCCACAGAUGGGUAAAAUCACAAGCUUGGGAGAACUGACACCAUAAUGUAGGAAUUCUUCCCUGGACAAGUUGAAAAUAAUUCUAUUUCAGUACAUUAAAAGGCUUCACUCUGUUAAGAUUUUGGAGAAGAAUGAGCGAAUUUGGUAGUGUAACUAAGAGGCGGGGGAGUACUGUCCCUUAUGGCUUGGCAAUGAGCAGGAGGGCAGUUCACAAUGGAGAGACGCAGACGCCUUUGGGGCGGUGCAGCCAUAGCGGAGUGCGCCUGGGACUGUGUGCCCCUGGGACUGCAUGUGCCCCGCACCGCCGCCUGCCCUGCGCCAGGAGAACCCAGAGCACGGCUGGGCCCAGACUGUCCUACCACGGUUUCAGCAGGCGCAGGUCUCUCCAGCAGCUCCUAAACAGCUUUUGUAUGUCCUUUCUCCAAAGUGUGUGGCUCAUAGGCAGGUUCUGUGCUUUUGAUGACAAUCCUUUUUUGGGUCGGGAUCAUUUUGAUCUGUUGCCCCUUCUGUCCAACCUUUGCUCUUCCCCCUGGUCCUUCUCACCCCGUCCCUUCCUGUGCCUGUCUGCACACCGACGUCCUCGGUCCUCGGGCUCCCUCAUUCUCCGGGGUUCUUGGCUUGGUGUGACUGGGGACUUCUCACACCUGGCUUGUCGUGGCGCUCCAGGGCUAUUGCAUCUUGGUUAAAAGGCCUGUCUCUGCAGACUGAAGGUUUUCUGCGGUCAGGAUCACGCCUGUUCGGUGUCUCCCUGACCGCCCUUGGAGUCUGCUCAAGGUAUAUUGGCUGGAAUGUUCUCAGAGACCGGCAGCCCAGGAGUGCUGAGUCGCUUGUGUGUCCGCUGUUUACACUGUGCAUGCGUGUGUGUGCAGGGAAACAGCCAGGCAGAUGCACAUGGUUAUUUAUAUCUUCAGAUUAUUUCUGUGAGGAAAAUUCUAUCCUGGUGAAAGAGCUUGCUGUUGAGAAACAGUAACUGUACCCAUGUAGACGCCACCGUAUUCACUCAAUGUAUUUGACAGGCACACUCAUAUUGUCAGGGUAAAAGGAGGCAGUAGCCUCUUUGAAAUGCAGGGACAGAGCAAGUGACGAGGAAAAAACACACAGCAGGUAUGUCCACAUUGUUGUGCAACCAAUUUUCAGAACUCUUUGAUCUUACGAAACUGAGACAGCCUAACUAUUACACAGCAACUCCCCAUUCCCAGGUCUCCCCCAGCGCCUGACAGCCACCAUUCUACUUUCUUUCUCUAUGAAUUGCAUUACUCUGGAUACCUCUUCCGGUUUUUAUUAUAGGCCUACUUGACGUUGUAAAGAAAUCAAAUGUUUGGCCCAGUAGCCAUCCUCCUCUCUGCUUGCUCCAUCAACUGAAAUUCAACUGGUAGCUUCAGUUCUAGAAGAGGGAGCCCUGAGCGCUCCUGACUUGCACAUGCGCUUGUAUGUACACAAAAUGCCCUGCUUCCUAGUUUCUGCCUGCAAGAAUUCCUCCAUAUCCCUGCCCCAGGGCUUCCUGCUUUACUUUCUCUUCACAUCCCUUCCUGUAGACUCGUUUGAAAAAAAAAGAAAAAAAAAUAUGUUUGCCUCGUGAGCUCCCGGGGCACAGCUUUGCUGCCUCGCAGUAGCCCAGCCGACUCCACUCGCAAGAACAGUGUGUUCUUGAAUUUUUUUAAAUAAAAUAAAAUAAAUUGUACUUUCAUAUUAUACAUUAUAAUUGAGUGUGGUAGAAAUAAAAUUUAAUUUCAGGUGCUUCUGGUAAUGUGGCUCUGGGGUUUCUACUGAAAAAGUAAAAAUUCAAUAAAAAGUAUUCUUUAGGGAGGUGUGUUUUUAAGCCUUUUAGACACUUAAAGCUAACUUUUGGUAAGCGUUCAUUCACGAACUGUACACUCUUAUGAUUUCUAUUCAUAUUUUCUCACUCUUGCUUAAAAAUAUAUUUUCUUAGAGAAGAACUGUUUUUUCAAUAAAAAUAGAAUGAAUUCCCAUACAUCAGUCUCUUCUCUAUAAGUGCCCUUCUGAACCCCAUGUACACAGAAGACAGUGAAGACAAGUGAAGCUCUUUAGAGAGCUAAAUAAUAGAUGCAGAUGAGUGUCUAACAUCUAUGCAGACUAGGUUCCUGAUAAACAUUGAAUUAAAUCUCCUGGCAGGCCAGGGUAUUAAUCUGGGGAGAAGGAAAGCCAUGUGAGUUAAAAGGGGAAGUAUCACAGAACAGAAACAAACAGUGGUACCUGAAGUAACCUUAGCAAUAAUAGCCUAAUAAGAAAUGAAGAAAAGGAGAGAUGGGGAAUAAAUAAACUGGCAUCAGAGACUCCUGGGAAAGACUCAUAAUUA